CGCACAUCGCCGUGCCUGCCACGCCUCCUCCUCCUCCUGCUGCUGCCCACGCGAGCGAGGGAGCGAUUCGGGAGCUCCUCGCCUCGCGUCUCCUCCGCCGCCGCGCCGCCUCGGGCUCGCUUGGUGCAGAUCGGGACCCGACGCCCGCGCCGCCGGGACGGAUCCCGCCUUGCACCAAGUGAAUCGGAGCCGGCGCAGCAAUAACUGCUCUGCCCUCGGCCGCGCCGCCGCCGCCCGCCCGACCUACUUGAUUACCGAGUCGUUCGUUUAGCCCGCUUGUUGCCUGCGUUUCUAGGAUCGGCGGCGAUGGUUGUUGGUUGCUGUGAUUCUGUGUCGCCGUGGAGGUUGAUAGCAGGGUGCCGUGCGGAUCUCUGCCUAGGUUUAGCAAUCAACACGGAUCUGGAUCUGGCGCGUAAUUUCGAUAGUUUGAUCCGAUUGAUUGGAUGAUCCGUUCUAAUAAGCAGGACCCAUCCGCUUAGUAGAUUACUUAUCUGUUUAUCUCGGCAAUUUUCUGUCCAUAACUCUACUGCAAUUUCUUAUGGCACAGGGGAGGCUUGGAUUCGCGCGUGAGGUGUAAAAUUGGACUGCGGAGAUGCCAUGUCUAGAUGACCUCGGCUUGAUUGGGCUGCACAGAGAUUAAUUGAUCUAGUUGUUAUCUGAUCGCUUUUACUGCUAGGGAUGCGCUGUGAGCCCUGUAAGGUUGAAAUUAUGGCGCAGCAAGCAUUUAAGUGCUCGCAUAUGCUUUAUUGAGCUCAUUCGCUGUAGUCUGUAGAGUGGCCUUUGUGGCACAUGCUAAUUCUGGAAAUUAAGAGUGGCCUUUGUGGCACAUGCUAAUUCUGGAAAUUAUGAUACCUGACAAUAUGUUUCUGCCUGGCUUUAUUUAUGCCAAAAUUCAGUUGAGUUGAUUGAUUCUCAUAUGUAUUGCCAUUGUUGUUAGUGGUUGUGUACGCCAGAUCCAUAUGAGGCUUGUAUAGGAGUUAAGUAUAUGCAUAUCGUCCAAAUAAGCAUAAUCCGGGUCAAAUGGGCCACUAGUUUUGAGUUUGCUCUGCCUGAAUGUUUAGAACUAGUCUUGGCCAACAUGGUGUAAUUUGGCGGGAUAGAUAUGGAGAGUGAAGCUCAAAUGCAAUCAGGAAAAAACAGUUCCUUUUAUUUUGGAAAAAAGGAAACUAGUCCCAACUGUAAGAGUAAAGGAAGUGGAACAAGCAACGGAAGCUUUUAUUGGGGUUGUAAUGUCGAGCGUUAACGGUUUUUUAUUGUUACUUUGUGGAUAUCUGAUUACAUAUUAAUUAUCUUAUUUACUUGUUUGGCUGGCUUACUUUGCUUCAUUUGUUGUAACCUAUUAAUGGAAUCUAGUUACAAGUUACAAUUCUGACAUAGCCAAUUGUUCAACCCCGUUGAAAUAGAGACCUAGUAAAGAGUAAGGCCGGGUGCGCCAAAUAAGCUGAGCCUGGCAAGGCUAGUUUGAAAUUAAUUCCAAUUCCUAAACUAGGGUUAUUACUAGCUAUAGAUGCUUAACAGCUUGACGACAAACUACUUUCAUGGUUUAUAACUUUAUUGCAUCAGUUAUGAUUGAAAUAUUAGCCCUAUAUGUGCCUAAGUUGUCCGAUAACAUAAUGAAUGCAUAUGCCGCAUAAUUGUACGUUUCCCUAUUAUUCUAAAUUUAGUUGGAAGGUCACUCUUUCUUUUUUGGCAGAUUAUUCAUGGUUUCAUUUGACGUUGCAACUUCAUUCUGGUGGACAUUGCAGAACAUUCCAUUCUUCAAGAAAGUUUCAAUUUUACUCGCUAUGAACAAUUGAAAGCAGCUACAAUGGAUAGUUUGAGGUUCAAUCUUUUUGGGUUCGUUUGAUUCUUGAUGGUUAUGCAUAUGUAAUUCUGUAUCAAUUUCUAUGUAUGGGAAAUAUACGAGUUGAUUUUUCUGGAUGGAUGUUGUGAUCUGCUUUGUUUAAAUGGUAUACCUAAACUAAAUGGAUAAGUUUCAGGAUUUGGUUGCACUGUAGUGCCAUUGAUUGGUCUGUGUAGGUAGCUUCCUAGAUGGACCCUUUUCUAUAAACUACAUCGGUACCAACCAACUUUCCCUGUUACAUACGACUUCCUAUGAGGUGAUGUCUAGAGGAUCCUUUUUGGAUGAACCCUAGAGCCUAGAAUCAUGGUGAAAUUUGCAUGCAUCUGUACUACUUAGCACCAUGAUGAAAGCUAGGAUUUACAGGGAAAAAACUGUUUCUGGGGCAAACCGGAAAUAUGGCUUGUUUCUAUUAUUAGCUGGAGACUCCACCCAAUUUCCAGCUUCCUGAACCAGUCAGUUUCGAUAUAUGGAUUUUCCAAACCUAAUUUCCUCUUUGAUUUAAAGUUACUGGGGCAAUCCGGUUGGCAAUCUGACUCGUUUCAGUUUGUGCCUGGGAACUGCUCCUAAUUUCCAGCCCCAAACUGGUCUGGUUUGGUAUCUGAAAUAUCAUAUAUUUUCUCUACCAAGAUUUAAAGUUUGAUGCAGACAUUAGAAAUAACUUUUAGGCGUUUUUGGGUACUGGGGUAGGGUAUUAGGGGUACCAUUAUUCUCAUGGUUUGGCUGAAAAAGCAGGGUGGACCAGCCAGUUACUACAGUCUUUUAACCUGGCAGCAUCAUGCUUAGGAUUUAAGCUAAGACUCAUAUGAUUGAGAUUCCAGUUGUCGGAUCCAUAUCAUUACAGAAAUAAUGAAAUGCUAUUUCUACUGAAACAGAUCCAUGUAGUGGGAGCAUGUUAGAUCUCCUUUUUCUUCAGAGGAUAAAUAUUUUUAACUGCUGAAGGUGUUCAAACAUCUUUUUUUUGUUUGAAGAAAUGUGUCAAAACAUCUUCUCCAUGAACUUAGCAAACACAACUCUCAUCAUGAUUUUGAGCAUACUACUAUAUAUAUUUGUUGAUGUUGUAGUGCCUAAGUGGGCAUUGGGUUCUUUUUUUUUUUUAACCUUUGAAAAGAGGGAGUCAGUGAUUAGGUGUCCAGGAAUAUAUGCUCGGCGAUCAAGAUUCUUUUUCCGUCAGGAAGAGGGGGGAAGAGACAAAGUAGCCGAUUGGCACUAGGUGGUCGACUGGUCGUCCAUGGCUGGCAUUUGAACUUGUUCCAGGAAAAGGGGAUUCCCUCCAUCUUUGAGCUGGAGCUGAUGAGUGAGGUGGAGUAAUUUUUAGUGGUUGGAAUAUUCCGCUAAAGCCAGGACAGCCGCCCAGGAGAACAUGUUCUGAAAAGCUGUCGAGGAAUAUUAAUAUCUGAGCCUGACACCCCCUGGAUUGACUUGAAUGAAUGAGCAGAAGCAGAGCAUGGUGGAAUUCCAGCUCCGGGUAGAUGGUACAUUGGUACCAUGGUCCAGCUUGGUGUCGGUAAAAAUUUUCACUGCUUUACAGUCUUUAUAUGUUCUCAGACUAUGAUGGUCAAUAUUUUGUUUCAUCCUGCCAUACUUUAUUUAUGUUUAAGCAUGGUGGCUGUAGAGAUCUUGCUCCAUCCUGCUGUAAUUUUCAUUUCAUGAUGAACACAUUGCUAAUGAAUUUACUUUCUCCAGUAGGAGCUAGAUUAACCUAAAAUAGUUAUUUUCCAUGUGGCGCUGGGGACAUGCAUGGCACAACUUGAGCAAAUGGGUCAGCACUCAGCACAGCACUAAUCACCCACAGGUUUUGUCUCUUCAGCAUGGAUUUUUCUUCUCCUCCAUGUUAAUGAAUUCAAAUUCCAAUUUGAACCAUGAUCCUGCUGGGCACUGUACAAAGCCGCAGCUCAGCCAGUGGGGAGGGAAGGAAUACAUGACAAACUUGACAAGGACGCGGUACUUGAUGGGAAAUCUGUACGCAGCUGCGAUCAAACAUGGUGGGCUCUGGUGCUCAGCUGAUCGAGCUGGUGUCCUUUGGCCUCCAGCGCAUGAAAAGCCUGGGCUGCUGCAGCUGCUCGUGCUCAUCAGGCCUGGUCCCCUGCCUCCCAAGCAAAAGCUUUCAACCCAGCCGCUCCCCUUUCAUUCGAAUCUGUGAAUUCCAUGGGAAAUUAUCUUUCGGAGACGUUGCUGUUUCCCUCUAGGUUACUGUGCCUUCUGUUUCAUCCUGCGCAGGUGUCGCCUCCUGUGUCUUAGCUUGUGCAGUUGUCUAGAUUGUCCAGGGAAAUGGAAUGAAAAAAAAACUCGUUGGUUUGUGUACAAAUGUUUAUGUUGCCGGCUUCAAAAUUUGAUGGAUUUUUUAAGAUUGAA
Molecule: long non-coding RNA, 4195 nt
Organism: Panicum hallii
Lineage: Eukaryota; Viridiplantae; Streptophyta; Magnoliopsida; Poales; Poaceae
Exons: 2
Source: RefSeq, a predicted model, not a curated record